This 418-nucleotide ribosomal RNA is filed under the name uncultured bacterium. RNAcentral's name for it is "bacterial SSU rRNA". It matches the Rfam family "Bacterial small subunit ribosomal RNA", at positions 8 to 426 of the family's 1533-position model. The record is from RNAcentral.
AGAGUUUGAUCCUGGCUCAGAUUGAACGCUGGCGGCAUGCCUUACACAUGCAAGUCGAACGGCAGCACGGGAGCAAUCCUGGUGGCGAGUGGCGAACGGGUGAGUAAUAUAUCGGAACGUGCCCAGUCGUGGGGGAUAACGCAGCGAAAGCUGUGCUAAUACCGCAUACGAUCUCUGGAUGAAAGCGGGGGACUCGCAAGGGCCUCGCGCGAUUGGAGCGGCCGAUAUCAGAUUAGCUAGUUGGUGGGGUAAAAGCCCACCAAGGCGACGAUCUGUAGCUGGUCUGAGAGGACGACCAGCCACACUGGAACUGAGACACGGUCCAGACUCCUACGGGGGGCAGCAGUGGGGAAUUUUGGACAAUGGGCGCAAGCCUGAUCCAGCAAUGCCGCGUGCAGGAUGAAGGCCUUCGGGUUGU